GAUGAACGCUAGCGGCAGGCUUAACACAUGCAAGUCGAGGGGCAGCAUGACACGGAGAUUCGUCGAAGUGUUGAUGGCGACCGGCGCAAGGGUGCGUAACGCGUGAGCAACUUGCCCGUUUCAGGGGAAUAACCGGUGGAAACGCCGACUAAUACCCCAUGGCAUCGUGAUGAGGCAUCUCAUUGCGAUUAAAGAAUUUCGGAAACGGAUAGGCUCGCGUGACAUUAGCUUGAUGGCGGGGUAACGGCCCACCAUGGCGACGAUGUCUAGGGGUUCUGAGAGGAAGGUCCCCCACACUGGAACUGAGACACGGUCCAGACUCCUACGGGAGGCAGCAGUGAGGAAUAUUGGUCAAUGGUCUGACGACUGAACCAGCCAUGCCGCGUGAAGGUGACGGCCCUAUGGGUCUUAAACUUCUUUUGUAAGGGAGCAAUAAGGGUUACGUGUAGAUUGAUGAGAGUACCUAACGAAUAAGCAUCGGCUAACUCCGU
RNAcentral lists this ribosomal RNA (491 nucleotides) under uncultured bacterium. Its description in RNAcentral is "bacterial SSU rRNA". It matches the Rfam family "Bacterial small subunit ribosomal RNA", at positions 28 to 506 of the family's 1533-position model. The record is from RNAcentral.